CCUACGGGAGGCAGCAGUGAGGAAUAUUGGUCAAUGGACGAGAGUCUGAACCAGCCAAGUAGCGUGAAGGAUGACUGCCCUAUGGGUUGUAAACUUCUUUUAUAUGGGAAUAAAAUGUUCCACGUGUGGGAUUUUGUAUGUCCCAUAUGAAUAAGGAUCGGCUAACUACGUGCCCGCAGCCGGGGUAAUCCGGAGGAACUGAGCGUUAUCCGGAUUUAUGGGGUGUAAAGGGAGCGUAGGUGGAUUGUUAAGUCACUUGUGAAAGUUUUCGGUGUAACCGUAAAAGUAAAGUUGAAACUGGCAGUCUUGAGUACAGUAGAGGUGAGCGGAAUUCGUGGUGUAGCGGUGAAAUGCGUAGAUAUCACGAAGAACUCCGAUUGCGAAGGCAGCUCACUGGACUGCAACUGACACUGAGGCUCGAAAGUGUGGGGAUCAAACAGGAUUAGAUACCCUAGUAGUC
RNAcentral lists this ribosomal RNA (460 nucleotides) under uncultured bacterium. RNAcentral describes it as "partial 16S ribosomal RNA". It matches the Rfam family "Bacterial small subunit ribosomal RNA", at positions 338 to 795 of the family's 1533-position model. The record is from RNAcentral.